GUCCGUGUAGCUCAAUCGGGAGAGCGCCCCGUUCACACCGGGGAGGUCGGCGGUUCGAACCCGUCCAUGGACA
RNAcentral lists this transfer RNA (73 nucleotides) under Cryptosporangium arvum DSM 44712. It matches the Rfam family "tRNA". From Rfam's summary of the family: Transfer RNA (tRNA) molecules are approximately 80 nucleotides in length. The record is from Rfam by way of RNAcentral. Lineage: Bacteria; Bacillati; Actinomycetota; Actinomycetes; Cryptosporangiales; Cryptosporangiaceae.